This 232-nucleotide long non-coding RNA is filed under the name Carica papaya (papaya). Its description in RNAcentral is "long non-coding RNA (CPAP_LNC016452)". The record is from RNAcentral. Lineage: Eukaryota; Viridiplantae; Streptophyta; Magnoliopsida; Brassicales; Caricaceae.
AAAUUUGGACCGUUCAUCGCGAUUUGAUCUGGACCGUUUGAUCACAUUUAAAUAGGAAGUGAAUCUGAACCGUUCAUCGCGAUUUGAUCUGGACCGUCCGAUAGCGUUUAAAGGGGGAACAUAUUCGAAUCGUCCGUGCACGUGGAAACAAAUUCGGACCGUCCGAUCGUGGGCACGCGAAUCGCCAGUGUAGUCUCCCGCGUGGCAUCACGUCAGCGUAACUUGCCACGCA